GCCCUACGGGGCGCAGCAGUCGGGAAUAUUGCGCAAUGGAGGAAACUCUGACGCAGUGACGCCGCGUAUAGGAAGAAGGUUUUCGGAUUGUAAACUAUUGUCGUGAGGGAAGAAAUUGACAGUACCUCAGGAGGAAGCCCCGGCUAACUACGUGCCAGCAGCCGCGGUAAUACGUAGGGGGCAAGCGUUAUCCGGAUUUACUGGGUGUAAAGGGAGCGUAGACGGCAGCGCAAGUCUGGAGUGAAAUGCCGGGGCCCAACCCCGGAACUGCUUUGGAAACUGUGCGGCUCGAGUGCGGGAGAGGG
RNAcentral lists this ribosomal RNA (305 nucleotides) under uncultured bacterium. RNAcentral's name for it is "bacterial SSU rRNA". It matches the Rfam family "Bacterial small subunit ribosomal RNA", at positions 335 to 658 of the family's 1533-position model. The record is from RNAcentral.